Molecule: ribosomal RNA, 852 nt
Filed under: Nectriopsis sasae
Lineage: Eukaryota; Fungi; Ascomycota; Sordariomycetes; Hypocreales; Bionectriaceae
Description: LSU rRNA
Rfam family: Eukaryotic large subunit ribosomal RNA
Source: RNAcentral
GCAUAUCAAUAAGCGGAGGAAAAAGAAACCAAACAGGGAUUGCCUUAGUAACGGCGAAGUGAAGCGGCAACAGCUCAAAUUUGAAAUCUGGCCCCCGGGUCCGAGUUGUAAUUUGUAGAGGAUGCUUUUGGUGCGGUACCUUCCGAGUUCCCUGGAACGGGACGCCAUAGAGGGUGAGAGCCCCGUCUGGUCGGAUACCAAUCCUCUGUAAAGCUCCUUCGACGAGUCGAGUAGUUUGGGAAUGCUGCUCUAAAUGGGAGGUAUAUGUCUUCUAAAGCUAAAUAUUGGCCAGAGACCGAUAGCGCACAAGUAGAGUGAUCGAAAGAUGAAAAGCACUUUGAAAAGAGGGUUAAACAGUACGUGAAAUUGUUGAAAGGGAAGCGCUUGCGACCAGACUUGGGCCCGGUCAAUCAUCCAGCGUUCUCGCUGGUGCACUUGGCCGGCCCAGGCCAGCAUCAGUUCGGUGUGGGGGAUAAAGGUAGCGGGAAUGUGGCUCCCCCGGGAGUGUUAUAGCCCGCCGCGCAAUACCCUGUGCUGGACUGAGGACCGCGCAUUCGCAAGGAUGCUGGCGUAAUGGUCAUUAGCGACCCGUCUUGAAACACGGACCAAGGAGUCGUCUUCGUAUGCGAGUGUUCGGGUGUUAAACCCCUACGCGUAAUGAAAAGUGAACGCAGGUGAGAGCUUCGGCGCAUCAUCGACCGAUCCUGAUGUUCUCGGAUGGAUUUGAGUAAGAGCAUACGGGGCCGGACCCGAAAGAAGGUGAACUAUGCCUGUAUAGGGUGAAGCCAGAGGAAACUCUGGUGGAGGCUCGCAGCGGUUCUGACGUGCAAAUCGAUCGUCAAAUAUGGGCAU